AUAUCAAUGAUGAAAUAUUAACAUUGCAACACAUGCCAAUACGGCCUUUUUAGUUUCUCUAAAUUACAAUUUUACAUUUCCUGGGAGUUUCGUCCUGGAAACGUUGUUUAAUGAUGACGUGUACGCAAGACGUCACAGGUUUUUAGGAAGUAUGAGCGCUGCACACACACACAGCUAAAUGUCGUCUGCUUAAACGGCAUAAUUACACAGUAUUUUGGAGAUCUAUGUUGCCACACAAACACACAGUGAUUCCUUGUUUAAAAUUCCUGGAGGUGAAACGUUGCUAUGAAUCAGAGCGCGGUCAAGCCAACAUGAAUCAAGACGGAAUGUCAACCAGCAUGUUUCGGUGAGGAAAUUGUGGUUAAAAAGUCGCUUCUUACCGGAGAAAAGCUGAGCUUGUGUCAUCCAUGAAGCUGCCGUCGACUCCCCUGAGACAUCGGCGUCAAGACACCCAUGAAGACACCUUUCCGACUAUCAGAGAGCAAAGGAACAAGGCAGUCCGAGAGGCAGGCAGAUGAACAUCAAGGGCAGGAGAGAAGAGGCUCCGUGUUCAGGCGAGGGUCGAGAAUCGAGGAAGGCAGUCUCAUUUAAGUCUCAUCUUAAAACUCAUCUGUAUACUCUAGCCUUUAAAUAGACCUCCUUUUUAGACCAGUUGAUCUGCCGCUUCUUUUCUUUCUCCUAUGUCCCCCCCUCCCUUGUGGAGGGGGUCCGGUCCGAUGACCAUGGAUGAAGUACUGACUGUCCAGAGUCGAGACCCAGGAUGGACCGCUCGUCGGGACCCAGGAUGGACCGCUCGCCUGUAUCGGUUGGGGACAUCUCUACGCUGCUGAUCCGCUCGAGAUGGUUUCCUGUGGACGGGACUCUCACUGCUGUCUUGGAGCCACUAUGGAUUGAACUUUCACAGUAUCAUGUUAGACCCGCUCGACAUCCAUUGCUUUCGGUCCCCUAGAGGGGGGGGGUUGCCCACAUCUGAGGUCCUCUCCAAGGUUUCUCAUAGUCAGCAUUGUCACUGGCGUCCCACUGAAUGUGAAUUCUCCCUGCCCACUGGGUGUGAGUUUUCCUUGCCCUUUUGUGGGUUCUUCCGAGGAUGUUGUAGUCGUAAUGAUUUGUGCAGUCCUUUGAGACAUUUGUGAUUUGGGGCUAUAUAAAUAAACAUUGAUUGAUUGAUUGAACACAGGGGGGGAACAAAAGACGAUCUCGAAGGGGGAACACUGGUACACGGAGAUGUAACUAAGUUCCCGCGUUGAUUUUUGGGUCCACUAGACCUUUAUCCAGCACAACCUCAUCAAAUCCAGGUGAGCAGAUUGGCGUGUGGGUGCAGGAUUGUCGCUGUGUGGGUGUGCUGCGCUCAGCGUGGGCGGAGGCAUGUCCGAGCUAGCUGCCAGAGGAGAAACUGUGACAAAUACGGGUCCAAAUCCACGCCGUGACCGUUUGUUUGAAAUUAACUGAAACUGAACUGAACACGGGCAGCAGGAGUUAGUGCGUCUGCCUCACAAUACGAAGGUCCUGAGUAGUCCUGGGUUCAAGCCCAGGCUCGGAAUCUUUCUGUGUGGAGUUUGCAUGUUCUCCCCGUGACUGAGUGGGUUCCCUCCGGGUACUCCGGCUUCCUCCCACCUCCAAAGACAUGCACCUGGGGAUAGGUUGAUUGGCAACACUAAAUUGGCCCUAGUGUGUGAAUGUGAGUGUGAAUGUUGUCUGUCUAUCUGUGUUGGCCCUGCGAUGAGGUGGCGACUUGUCCAGGGUGUACCCUGCCUUCCGCCCGAUUGUAGCUGAGAUAGGCACCAGCGUCCCCCGCGACCCCCAAAAAAAAGGGAAUAAGCGGUAGAAAAUGGAAUUGGCCCUAGUGUGUGAAUGUGAGUGUGAAUGUUGUCUGUCUAUCUAUGUUGGCCCUGCGAAGACGUGGCGACUUGUCAAGGGUGUACACCGCCUUCUGCCCGAUUGUAGCUGAGAUAGGCACCGCGACCCCAAAGGGAAUAAGCGGUAGGAAAUGGAUGGAUGGAUGGAUGAAUGGAUGGAUGGAUGGAUGGAUGAACUGAACACUGAGGGUUGAAUCAGUAGUCUAAUUCUACAAACCCCACUGCAGCUUCACUGUGACAAGUAUGCCUUGCUUUUGCCCCCUGCAGAGUGGCGGGAGAUCAACCCUAGUUUUAAUGGUUUCAUCAAAUUUAUUUGGGUGAUGUUUAGGCUGCCCAAAUGUAUAGCUGUGGAGAGCCAGAAGUGGCCCAAGGGCAACCAGUUGAAUAGACUUGGCUUACUUUUGUCUGAGGCUCGAUCUUGUUUUGAUUGAGGGAAUUCCAUCCAUCCAUUUUCUACGGCUUAUUCCCUUUGGGGUUGCGGGGGGCGCUGGUGCCUAUCUCGGCUACAAUCGGGCGGAAGGCGGUGUACACCCUGGACAAGUCACUACCUCAUUGCAGGGUGAUCUUGAAAUCAAAACCAGCACGGGAGCAUUUUUUAAGUUUCGGUCUGUUGUUACAAAACACCUAAGUCCUAAAUCCACUACUGGCCAAAAACAUCUCUCUCGCAGUGUCCAUUUGAUUGAAUCAUGUGACAUAUGCCAGACUGUUUACUACAAACAUAGCCCCACGUCACAACUAUCACCAGCACAAUGGUAUGUUUUACUACUGGGAUUUUGAAGCCUGACUUUUAACAGGCCAAUGUUUAUCGAGUGGACUGGAAGUUGUGCUGCUGUGGCAACACUGAAUAUGUAUUUAGUUUUUCAUGGUGUAAGGCAGUGGUCCCCAACCUUUUUGUAGCUGCGGACCGAUCAACGCUUGAUGAUUUGUCCCGCGGCCCGGCAGGAGGGGGUCGAUUAUUUCUUUUAUUUUAUCUUAUUUUUUUUCAUGAUAAAGGGAGGUUUUUUGGGUUGGUGCACUAAUUGUAAGUGAAUCUUGUGUUUUUUAAUGAUGAUUUAAUAAAAAAAAAAUAAACAAAAUAAAUAAAUAAAAAUAAAUAAUAAUAAUAAAAAAAUAUUCUGUGGCCCGGUACCAAUCGAGUUAUCCCUUACACCGGUGGUUGGGGACCACUGGUGCAAGGGAUAACUGUUAAUAACUGUAUUGUAAAUGUAUUACUGGUUUUCCUGUGUAUCAUAUGCCUGUUAUUUUGUAGGUUGCACAAGUAGAUAUGUGGAACUCACUGAUGAAAACAAAAACUUUAAUGUGUCUUUCACAGAAAAGUUAACAAAAUGCUAAGGUAUAGAUCAUAAAUAUAUUUAAAAGAUGAAAUUUGAACAAAAGUUAAAAGUAUUCUAGUGCCAGUUGAAAUGGAUACAAGUUAAACGGUUUCAGUUGAUGUUUAGUUUAUGUAAAUUUACAAAUGUGUAAGGCUAAAAUCUGUAUCCUGUUAAGCCAUUUUUUUAGUAUGUUUGCUCAUUAGCUCUUACGUUGGUCAAUGAACCCACAGAUGUUCAAUAAAAGACUAUUUGACCAUCA
Long non-coding RNA from Nerophis ophidion (straightnose pipefish), 3428 nucleotides. RefSeq lists it as uncharacterized. Lineage: Eukaryota; Metazoa; Chordata; Actinopteri; Syngnathiformes; Syngnathidae. The record is from RefSeq and is a predicted model, not a curated record. The transcript is spliced from 2 exons.